This 216-nucleotide ribosomal RNA is filed under the name Triticum aestivum (bread wheat). RNAcentral describes it as "partial small subunit ribosomal RNA". The record is from RNAcentral. Lineage: Eukaryota; Viridiplantae; Streptophyta; Magnoliopsida; Poales; Poaceae.
AUGUCCCAAGAGGAGUUCGGCUUCGCAGGCGUUGACAGUGGCAGAAUCACGCUGCCCUGCGACGCAUCGGUGAUGGAGUACGCCAUGUGCUUGCUCAGGAGAAGCGCCUACGCAGAGAUGGAGGCCGCGUUCCUCAACACCAUGGCGAUGCCAUGCCACUAUCAUGCGACGGCAUAUCUGGGAGUUAGCCAGCAUUUUGGUGUCUGCAGCUCCUGA